This 16493-nucleotide long non-coding RNA is filed under the name Brassica napus (rape). RNAcentral's name for it is "long non-coding RNA (BNAP_LNC000971)". The record is from RNAcentral. Lineage: Eukaryota; Viridiplantae; Streptophyta; Magnoliopsida; Brassicales; Brassicaceae.
GCAGUUCUUAAAGCAUUCACAUCGGCAUGCCAAGCUCCGGCACCAAGCCAGGUGCUGAUCCCAAAAGGUGACUUCAAGCUUGGUGAGACCGUGAUGACUGGUCCAUGCAAAUCUCCAAUCGAGUUCACCUUGCAAGGCAACGUGAAAGCUGACGGUGGCUCUACCCAGGGAAAGGAUAGAUGGGUUGUGUUCGAAAAAAUUAAUGGUUUUAAGUUGAACGGAGGUGGAACAUUUGACGGUGAAGGCAAUGCAGCUUGGAAAGCCAAUAACUGCCACAAGACUUUUGAGUGCAAGAAACUUCCCAUCGUAUGUGUUUAUGUCUUUAAUAUAUUAACACCAAUGGCUUUUUUAAAGAUGAUAUAAUUCAGUGAUGCAUGCUAUCUUUCAGAGUGUAAGGUUUGAUUUUGUGGAUAACGCUGAGAUAAAAGACAUAACCUCAUUAGAUGCCAAAAACUUCCACUUCAACGUUAUCAGCGGCAAGAACAUGACCUUUGAUAACAUCAAGAUCAUCGCUCCAGCUGAAAGCCCCAACACUGACGGUAUCCAUUUGGGAAGAUGUGAGGGAGUCAAGAUCCUCAACACUAAGAUCGCCACAGGAGAUGACUGCAUCUCCGUGGGAGAUGGGAUGAAGAAUCUCCUCAUUGAGAAAGUUGUGUGCGGUCCAGGACACGGAAUCAGUGUUGGAAGCCUUGGAAGGUACGGAUGGGAGCAAGAUGUCACUGACAUUAACGUUAAGAACUGUACCCUCGAGGGAACCGACAACGGUCUGAGGAUCAAGACAUGGCCAUCUGCCGCUUGCACCACCACCGCUGCCGGUAUUCAUUUUGAGGAUAUCAUCCUUAACAAAGUUAGCAACCCAAUCCUCAUCGACCAGGAGUACUGCCCUUGGAACCAAUGCAACAAGAACGUAAGUAUCUUUUAUUAGAUUCUAUGUCUUGCCACUAUCACCGUAUUCUAUGAAAUUGGAUGGCUCAGCAAACAUAUUAUUCUGAUGGUUUUCUAGAUAUUUAGCAUUCACCAUUUUGGUUGAGGUUACAUAUAUAUGAUUAUGAUCCCAAAGUUUUUUUUCUAUUUGCAGAAACCAUCAACAAUUAAGCUGGUGGACAUUACCUUCAGGAAUAUUAGAGGAACAUCAGGGAACAAGGACGCAGUAAAACUAUUGUGCAGCAAGGGACAUCCAUGUGAGAACGUUGAGAUUGGAGACAUUAACAUUGAGUACACAGGACCUGACGGUCCACCCACUUUCGAGUGCACAAACGUCACACCUAAGCUUGUGGGAACCCAGAACCCAAAGGCUUGCGUUGGACCUGUGGUCAAGGCUCCUGGCAAAGAGUAAAAUGUUGAAGCUCAUAUCAACACACUAGGGCUUCCACAUCCAAUUUUGUUUAUUCUUUUUCUAAUCCUUUUUCAAGUCACGUAAGGGAGACUUUUACAAAGCUGUAACAAAAAAAUGUUUCUAUCCGAUGCCAACACAUAUAUAGAUGUGUGAGUGCAUAAUGAUGUAAUUAAUAAAACUAAAUUAUAUAUUCUGCGUAUGAUUGUUUCUUUUUAAAAUAUUAAUAUGCGCGGUAAGUUGUAUACACUUCAAUCUUAAUUUUGUUUUCUUUUCCGAAUCUUAAAAUUAUUUAACAAGAUCUGAUUUCAACCUUAAGAUUAAUUUAACUAAUACAGUAUUAGUUUUUUUUUUUUGAGAACUCAUUUUAAACUAGAACUCAAAUCAUUUCAAUAAUAGUUCACUAACAUGUAGUAUUCUUUCCAAGUUAUACUGAACUAGAACUCAAAGAUACACUUGUUCAUACAUAACCGAUGCAAGCAUUUGGACAACGAAACAUGACAUCGUCAUAAGUAAUCUGAUUGGAAAUGUAAUUUUCAAUCAAACUUUCGCUCUUUGCUUAUGAUCUCUUUGGAAAAAAUUUCACUUGAUAAUAUGAGGUGCAUACUCUUCCUCUCUACUUUGGUUCAAUGCUCCUUAAACAUGUUGGAUACUUUUUUAGGCUUCAAUAUAAAAAAGAAGUUAGGAAAAAUUUAUUGAUAUUGUUAGUAAUAUUACUUCUAUGAUAUUGGUACUUCAAAAGAAGCAUGAGUUAUUAUAGAAACUAGGUUAAGAUCUCUGUUUUGCGCAUGAUGAAUUUUAUGUAUACAAAUGAUAUUUUUCUAUUUUUAUUAUUUAUUUUGUGUUUAUUUAUUUCAUAUUUAUAUAAUUAAAUUAGAGUAAACACAUAAAUCAAAACUAUACCUCCUUUUAUUUCUAAUUUUUUUCAUAAAUAAAUCAAUCGUUUUAUUUAUUUUAUAUGAAAUAUAAUUAAUUUGAAUGAUAAUGACAUAGAUAUCUAGUAAAAUUUAAUAUAACUUAUUAAUUGAGAUUUCCUACUCAUAUAAUCUUAUUAACAUUUGUAUAUAUUGCUGUAAAAAAAAUUAAACCAUUAAUUACAAAACUUUCAAUGUGAGAUUUAUUUCAAUACAAAAUUUUAAAUUGAAAUAUUAAGGUCUCAAUACUUUUAAAAUGUAAAUUUCAAAAUUAACGUAUUUAUGUAUUUUUAUAUGGUAUAUAGUUUAAUUUAAACGAUAUUAAGAUAUAUAUAUAUAUAUAUAUUUAAUAUGAAUAUCUAUUAAAUGAGACUUUAUAUUCAUACAAUUUUAUGAUCAUUUUGUAUCUUGUUAUAACAAAAAAAAGUAGUUAAACCAUUGAUUACAAAAUUUCAAUAUGGGCUUUUAACAUUUUUUAGUAAUUUAUAGUUUUUUAAAAUUCAUAAUAUAACAUAUAAGAAAGAGUCUAUAUUUUAAGUAUAUGGUUAAUGUGAUUGUAUAAUUUCUUUUAAUAAUAUAAAAUUAAAUAAAAUAGAUGGAGGUUACAAAAAUUGUUAUCAAAUCUUUAUUAUUCAUAAUCAUUAGUUUUCGUAUAUAUGUUAAUCAUAUUAGGUAAUUUCGUAACUUUUAUUUAGAGAAAUAAUGAAAAUAUUCUUUUGAACAUACAUUACUAAUCAAUUUGAUAGUUAGUUUAAUAAUAAGAUAUAAUAUAUGUUUCGAUAGACCAUCUAUUUUUUUAAGGAUCCUAAGCAUCAUUGUUGUAUUAAUACGUGGAUACAAAAAAAUGUUGCAAUGCUUUUCAAAUAUAUAAAUGAUUAUGUGGUUGAAAGAAAUUAGAAAAAUGCAAUGCAGUUAAGUAAUGAGGAACGAUUGAUUUUUGUUAUUAAAAGACGGAAGUCACGAACCACAUUAAUUAAAGUCAUCGAUUACUGACUGAUGACAACAUAUUUGACAAACAAUAAUAGAAGUUACAUAUAUUAACGCAUAAAGUUACAAAAUACAUAUACAUAUUUGACAAACAAUAAUAGAAGCGACGAAAUACAAACAAACACCUAAAACAAUUAAUUUUCAAAUACAGUCCAGGUUCUCCGAAAGUCGUUUGCUUUGAAAUGCUCUUUUUUAACUUAGUCAUAAACAUCUUCAUCUUUAUAACAUUAAUUAUUUCUUUUAUGAACUGGUUUGCCUUUUUUUCUUCAUGAUAUUGGGUUCAAUAGUUCCAACUUUUGCCUUUUGAAUUGUGUAAAUCUAUUUCACUAUUUGUUGACCAUUUGCAAUUCUUGCUUUUCUUUCAUCAUAUCAUUUUUUGUUGUAUACAUUUCCCUUGAAUGAUGACUAACUUAUACAAAAUUGGAAUCACUUGCAUCAUUUUCGUGGAUUCUUUUAAACCCACUUCUGCCUGACUACAAGAACAUAUUUAAUCACAGAUGAUGACGAGCCCCAUUCCAACAUGUUGAAAUGUAUAGUCUUGGCACUUGAACAUAGCUCAUGCGUUUUUUUUGUCAAUAUAUCAUUAUUCUCUGAUCAUCCAUUUUGUUACAUAGACUUUGCUAUUGUCAGUGCCAACCAUUAUUCCGAUAGUUUUUUCAUGUGGUGUAGUAAUUUUUCUAAACGAAGCAAUUACUGUUCUCUAACAAUUUUGAAAACCAACCAAUGCUAACGUCCAUAUAUAUUUUCCGCAGCCUGCACAACAGGAUUAUCAGAACGUAAAUCUCCUGAAUUUCUUUAAGUUCUAGUACCUUAUAAAAUUCUACUAACAAUUUGAUAUCUUUUUAGAUGGUGUAAAUGUAAUAACAUAAGUUGGCUAGAAACUAACCUCCCAAAAAUAGAGGUAUCAUGCAAAUGCUAUAAACACGAGUGGAACAAGUCUUAUGCCUAACAAUUGAACGCUAAUUUCCCAAAAUUAAAGUAACCUAGCUAAUACUUCCUUAAAAAUGGGUCAAACAUUCUAAAAAAUGAGAAGUUGGGAGAAAGUAUGGGCCUUCAACAUAUCUCUCCAUUUAACGCACUAUAUAAAGCAGCAGGUGCGUAGUAAAAAUCUCAGAAAACAAAAAUUAAAAGACAAUAAAAAAUAAAAAUAAAUAAAUAAAUAUGGGUUCAUAUUUGGGAAUCUAUACAAUUUUGGUUCUAUGUUUGCUAAAAUAAAAAUGGGUUCAUAUAUGGGAAUAUGUACAAUUUUUGUUCUAUGUUUGCUGGGAUAUUCAGCCAAUGCUGAGGUGUUCACCGCUGGUGGUCCUCCAAAUUCUGAUAUUACCGCGGUUAGUAUCUUCACUUGUUUUUUAUUACUUGAAUUCCAAUCAAUGUGUAAACCAUUUCUUAUAUUAACAUACUCGUGGGAGCUAUUGUUGCAGGCAGUUCUUAAAGCAUUCACAUCGGCAUGCCAAGCUCCGGCACCAAGCCAGGUGCUGAUCCCAAAAGGUGACUUCAAGCUUGGUGAGACCGUGAUGACUGGUCCAUGCAAAUCUCCAAUCGAGUUCACCUUGCAAGGCAACGUGAAAGCUGACGGUGGCUCUACCCAGGGAAAGGAUAGAUGGGUUGUGUUCGAAAAAAUUAAUGGUUUUAAGUUGAACGGAGGUGGAACAUUUGACGGUGAAGGCAAUGCAGCUUGGAAAGCCAACAACUGCCACAAGACUUUUGAGUGCAAGAAACUUCCCAUCGUAGGUGUUUCCGUCUUUAAUAUAUUAACACCAAUGGCUUUUUUUAAAGAUGAUAUAAUUCAGUGAUGCAUGCUAUCUUUCAGAGUGUAAGGUUUGAUUUUGUGGAUAACGCUGAGAUAAAAGACAUAACCUCAUUAGAUGCCAAAAACUUCCACUUCAACGUUAUCAGCGGCAAGAACAUGACCUUUGAUAACAUCAAGAUCAUCGCUCCAGCUGAAAGCCCCAACACUGACGGUAUCCAUUUGGGAAGAUGUGAGGGAGUCAAGAUCCUCAACACUAAGAUCGCCACAGGAGAUGACUGCAUCUCCGUGGGAGAUGGGAUGAAGAAUCUCCUCAUUGAGAAAGUUGUGUGCGGUCCAGGACACGGAAUCAGUGUUGGAAGCCUUGGAAGGUACGGAUGGGAGCAAGAUGUCACUGACAUUAACGUUAAGAACUGUACCCUUGAGGGAACCGACAACGGUCUGAGGAUCAAGACAUGGCCAUCUGCCGCUUGCACCACCACCGCUGCCGGUAUUCAUUUUGAGGAUAUCAUCCUUAACAAAGUUAGCAACCCAAUCCUCAUCGACCAGGAGUACUGCCCUUGGAACCAAUGCAACAAGAACGUAAGUAUCUUUUAUUAGAUUCUAUGUCUUGCCACUAUCACCGUAUUCUAUGAAAUUGGAUGGCUCAGCAAACAUAUUAUUCUGAUGGUUUUCUAGAUAUUUAGCAUUCACCAUUUUGGUUGAGGUUACAUAUAUAUGAUUAUGAUCCCAAAGUUUUUUUUUCUAUUUGCAGAAACCAUCAACAAUUAAGCUGGUGGACAUUACCUUCAGGAAUAUUAGAGGAACAUCAGGGAACAAGGACGCAGUAAAACUAUUGUGCAGCAAGGGACAUCCAUGUGAGAACGUUGAGAUUGGAGACAUUAACAUUGAGUACACAGGACCUGACGGUCCACCCACUUUCGAGUGCACAAACGUCACACCUAAGCUUGUGGGAACCCAGAACCCAAAGGCUUGCGUUGGACCUGUGGUCAAGGCUCCUGGCAAAGAGUAAAAUGUUGAAGCUCAUAUCAACACACUAGGGCUUCCACAUCCAAUUUUGUUUAUUCUUUUUCUAAUCCUUUUUCAAGUCACGUAAGGGAGACUUUUACAAAGCUGUAACAAAAAAAUGUUUCUAUCCGAUGCCAACACAUAUAUAGAUGUGUGAGUGCAUAAUGAUGUAAUUAAUAAAACUAAAUUAUAUAUUCUGCGUAUGAUUGUUUCUUUUUAAAAUAUUAAUAUGCGCGGUAAGUUGUAUACACUUCAAUCUUAAUUUUGUUUUCUUUUCCGAAUCUUAAAAUUAUUUAACAAGAUCUGAUUUCAACCUUAAGAUUAAUUUAACUAAUACAGUAUUAGUUUUUUUUUUUUUAGAACUCAUUUUAAACUAGAACUCAAAUCAUUUCAAUAAUAGUUCACUAACAUGUAGUAUUCUUUCCAAGUUAUACUGAACUAGAACUCAAAGAUACACUUGUUCAUACAUAACCGAUGCAAGCAUUUGGACAACGAAACAUGACAUCGUCAUAAGUAAUCUGAUUGGAAAUGUAAUUUUCAAUCAAACUUUCGCUCUUUGCUUAUGAUCUCUUUGGAAAAAAUUUCACUUGAUAAUAUGAGGUGCAUACUCUUCCUCUCUACUUUGGUUCAAUGCUCCUUAAACAUGUUGGAUACUUUUUUAGGCUUCAAUAUAAAAAAGAAGUUAGGAAAAAUUUAUUGAUAUUGUUAGUAAUAUUACUUCUAUGAUAUUGGUACUUCAAAAGAAGCAUGAGUUAUUAUAGAAACUAGGUUAAGAUCUCUGUUUUGCGCAUGAUGAAUUUUAUGUAUACAAAUGAUAUUUUUCUAUUUUUAUUAUUUAUUUUGUGUUUAUUUAUUUCAUAUUUAUAUAAUUAAAUUAGAGUAAACACAUAAAUCAAAACUAUACCUCCUUUUAUUUCUAAUUUUUUUCAUAAAUAAAUCAAUCGUUUUAUUUAUUUUAUAUGAAAUAUAAUUAAUUUGAAUGAUAAUGACAUAGAUAUCUAGUAAAAUUUAAUAUAACUUAUUAAUUGAGAUUUCCUACUCAUAUAAUCUUAUUAACAUUUGUAUAUAUUGCUGUAAAAAAAAUUAAACCAUUAAUUACAAAACUUUCAAUGUGAGAUUUAUUUCAAUACAAAAUUUUAAAUUGAAAUAUUAAGGUCUCAAUACUUUUAAAAUGUAAAUUUCAAAAUUAACGUAUUUAUGUAUUUUUAUAUGGUAUAUAGUUUAAUUUAAACGAUAUUAAGAUAUAUAUAUAUAUAUAUAUUUAAUAUGAAUAUCUAUUAAAUGAGACUUUAUAUUCAUACAAUUUUAUGAUCAUUUUGUAUCUUGUUAUAACAAAAAAAAGUAGUUAAACCAUUGAUUACAAAAUUUCAAUAUGGGCUUUUAACAUUUUUUAGUAAUUUAUAGUUUUUUAAAAUUCAUAAUAUAACAUAUAAGAAAGAGUCUAUAUUUUAAGUAUAUGGUUAAUGUGAUUGUAUAAUUUCUUUUAAUAAUAUAAAAUUAAAUAAAAUAGAUGGAGGUUACAAAAAUUGUUAUCAAAUCUUUAUUAUUCAUAAUCAUUAGUUUUCGUAUAUAUGUUAAUCAUAUUAGGUAAUUUCGUAACUUUUAUUUAGAGAAAUAAUGAAAAUAUUCUUUUGAACAUACAUUACUAAUCAAUUUGAUAGUUAGUUUAAUAAUAAGAUAUAAUAUAUGUUUCGAUAGACCAUCUAUUUUUUUAAGGAUCCUAAGCAUCAUUGUUGUAUUAAUACGUGGAUACAAAAAAAUGUUGCAAUGCUUUUCAAAUAUAUAAAUGAUUAUGUGGUUGAAAGAAAUUAGAAAAAUGCAAUGCAGUUAAGUAAUGAGGAACGAUUGAUUUUUGUUAUUAAAAGACGGAAGUCACGAACCACAUUAAUUAAAGUCAUCGAUUACUGACUGAUGACAACAUAUUUGACAAACAAUAAUAGAAGUUACAUAUAUUAACGCAUAAAGUUACAAAAUACAUAUACAUAUUUGACAAACAAUAAUAGAAGCGACGAAAUACAAACAAACACCUAAAACAAUUAAUUUUCAAAUACAGUCCAGGUUCUCCGAAAGUCGUUUGCUUUGAAAUGCUCUUUUUUAACUUAGUCAUAAACAUCUUCAUCUUUAUAACAUUAAUUAUUUCUUUUAUGAACUGGUUUGCCUUUUUUUCUUCAUGAUAUUGGGUUCAAUAGUUCCAACUUUUGCCUUUUGAAUUGUGUAAAUCUAUUUCACUAUUUGUUGACCAUUUGCAAUUCUUGCUUUUCUUUCAUCAUAUCAUUUUUUGUUGUAUACAUUUCCCUUGAAUGAUGACUAACUUAUACAAAAUUGGAAUCACUUGCAUCAUUUUCGUGGAUUCUUUUAAACCCACUUCUGCCUGACUACAAGAACAUAUUUAAUCACAGAUGAUGACGAGCCCCAUUCCAACAUGUUGAAAUGUAUAGUCUUGGCACUUGAACAUAGCUCAUGCGUUUUUUUUGUCAAUAUAUCAUUAUUCUCUGAUCAUCCAUUUUGUUACAUAGACUUUGCUAUUGUCAGUGCCAACCAUUAUUCCGAUAGUUUUUUCAUGUGGUGUAGUAAUUUUUCUAAACGAAGCAAUUACUGUUCUCUAACAAUUUUGAAAACCAACCAAUGCUAACGUCCAUAUAUAUUUUCCGCAGCCUGCACAACAGGAUUAUCAGAACGUAAAUCUCCUGAAUUUCUUUAAGUUCUAGUACCUUAUAAAAUUCUACUAACAAUUUGAUAUCUUUUUAGAUGGUGUAAAUGUAAUAACAUAAGUUGGCUAGAAACUAACCUCCCAAAAAUAGAGGUAUCAUGCAAAUGCUAUAAACACGAGUGGAACAAGUCUUAUGCCUAACAAUUGAACGCUAAUUUCCCAAAAUUAAAGUAACCUAGCUAAUACUUCCUUAAAAAUGGGUCAAACAUUCUAAAAAAUGAGAAGUUGGGAGAAAGUAUGGGCCUUCAACAUAUCUCUCCAUUUAACGCACUAUAUAAAGCAGCAGGUGCGUAGUAAAAAUCUCAGAAAACAAAAAUUAAAAGACAAUAAAAAAUAAAAAUAAAUAAAUAAAUAUGGGUUCAUAUUUGGGAAUCUAUACAAUUUUGGUUCUAUGUUUGCUAGGAUAUUCAGCCAAUGCUGAGGUGUUCACCGCUGGUGGUCCUCCAAAUUCUGAUAUUACCGCGGUUAGUAUCUUCACUUGUUUUUUAUUACUUGAAUUCCAAUCAAUGUGUAAACCAUUUCUUAUAUUAACAUACUCGUGGGAGCUAUUGUUGCAGGCAGUUCUUAAAGCAUUCACAUCGGCAUGUCAAGCUCCGGCACCAAGCCAGGUGCUGAUCCCAAAAGGUGACUUCAAGCUUGGUGAGACCGUGAUGACUGGUCCAUGCAAAUCUCCAAUCGAGUUCACCUUGCAAGGCAACGUGAAAGCUGACGGUGGCUCUACCCAGGGAAAGGAUAGAUGGGUUGUGUUCGAAAAAAUUAAUGGUUUUAAGUUGAACGGAGGUGGAACAUUUGACGGUGAAGGCAAUGCAGCUUGGAAAGCCAAUAACUGCCACAAGACUUUUGAGUGCAAGAAACUUCCCAUCGUAUGUGUUUAUGUCUUUAAUAUAUUAACACCAAUGGCUUUUUUAAAGAUGAUAUAAUUCAGUGAUGCAUGCUAUCUUUCAGAGCAACUGCCACAAGACUUUUGAGUGCAAGAAACUUCCCAUCGUAGGUGUUUCCGUCUUUAAUAUAUUAACACCAAUGGCUUUUUUUAAAGAUGAUAUAAUUCAGUGAUGCAUGCUAUCUUUCAGAGUGUAAGGUUUGAUUUUGUGGAUAACGCUGAGAUAAAAGACAUAACCUCAUUAGAUGCCAAAAACUUCCACUUCAACGUUAUCAGCGGCAAGAACAUGACCUUUGAUAACAUCAAGAUCAUCGCUCCAGCUGAAAGCCCCAACACUGACGGUAUCCAUUUGGGAAGAUGUGAGGGAGUCAAGAUCCUCAACACUAAGAUCGCCACAGGAGAUGACUGCAUCUCCGUGGGAGAUGGGAUGAAGAAUCUCCUCAUUGAGAAAGUUGUGUGCGGUCCAGGACACGGAAUCAGUGUUGGAAGCCUUGGAAGGUACGGAUGGGAGCAAGAUGUCACUGACAUUAACGUUAAGAACUGUACCCUUGAGGGAACCGACAACGGUCUGAGGAUCAAGACAUGGCCAUCUGCCGCUUGCACCACCACCGCUGCCGGUAUUCAUUUUGAGGAUAUCAUCCUUAACAAAGUUAGCAACCCAAUCCUCAUCGACCAGGAGUACUGCCCUUGGAACCAAUGCAACAAGAACGUAAGUAUCUUUUAUUAGAUUCUAUGUCUUGCCACUAUCACCGUAUUCUAUGAAAUUGGAUGGCUCAGCAAACAUAUUAUUCUGAUGGUUUUCUAGAUAUUUAGCAUUCACCAUUUUGGUUGAGGUUACAUAUAUAUGAUUAUGAUCCCAAAGUUUUUUUUCUAUUUGCAGAAACCAUCAACAAUUAAGCUGGUGGACAUUACCUUCAGGAAUAUUAGAGGAACAUCAGGGAACAAGGACGCAGUGAAACUAUUGUGCAGCAAGGGACAUCCAUGUGAGAACGUUGAGAUUGGAGACAUUAACAUUGAGUACACAGGACCUGACGGUCCACCCACUUUCGAGUGCACAAACGUCACACCUAAGCUUGUGGGAACCCAGAACCCAAAGGCUUGCGUUGGACCUGUGGUCAAGGCUCCUGGCAAAGAGUAAAAUGUUGAAGCUCAUAUCAACACAUUAGGGCUUCCACAUCCAAUUUUGUUUAUUCUUUUUCUAAUUCUUUUUCAAGUCACGUAAGGAGACUUUUACAAAGCUGUAACAAAAAAAUGUUUCUAUCGAUGCCAACACAUAAUGUGUGAGUGCAUUAUGAUUUAAUAAAACUAAAAAGAUUUAUCUAUCUUUUCUACACAUAUAUGAUUUUCUUUUUUUAUAACAUGCUUAAUUUUCUUUUAAAAAUCUUAUUAAUUGACAAUAAAUGUUCUGAUCCAUGUCUAUUUUUAUUUGAUGGUUGCCAAGAACCAAUCACUGUAAAUAGUUAUUCUUAUCGCGAAUCGAAUUAUGGUGAUGGAAGUUACAGCCACAAUUCAUUUACCAGUAGAGUUGAUUCGUUCGCUUAUUGGGGAAUAUUUUUGGGACGUCUUAUCGAGAUAAUAGAGAAUGAUGCGUUCUUGUACAUCUUUUUCUUGAUUCAUGUAGUUUAAGGAGUUCAGGCAUUUUGGUUUAAGCGAGUGAGAUAUCGUUCUAGUGAUAUUUAGAGUAUAUUGUUUUGCUGGUGGAUUACUUCUUUGAUUAUAAUUGACACCAGGGAUACAUGGUUUGUUCUUUUUUACUUUGAGUUCAGGUGUAUGAUGUGACCCCGUUUGUGGAGGAUCAUCUUGGAGGCAAAGGGGUCUUGUUAUUCUCAAAAUGGUUUGGAUAAAAUCAAAUCUUACUGAUAUAACAUUGGUUGCACUCUAGUCUAGUGUGGAUACGAAAACGGCAAGAUGAUCCUCCACAGUGAAACCAAAUCUUACUGAUAUUUUAAAUACCUACUAACAUGAGUGUGUGUAUGGCCUAAAUAAAUAUGGACAAUGGUGUGUGUACACAAUAUGAUAUGAGUGUCCAUCUGGAUACUCAGUUCGCGUACAUCUUUUGUUGUACAUCUCCGAUUCCUAAAAUUUGAUGAACAUUUCUUCCUUUCAACAGCUCUUAUACAGUAGACAUUUUCUCUCAAACAAUGCAAUAUAUUAUUGUUAUUAUUACUCUCAGUAUCUUGCACCAUAGGUUCACAAAUGCAAGAUGUAGUCAAAUUCAUGAAAAUGUACAUGUACACCGUUUUCUGUAAUCAUGCAAAACUACUUAGAUUUCAAUGCAUUAGUGAGUUCUUUUUCUGUAAACCUCCUCUUGGGAAUCUGAAUUAUUCAUCUCUGAAUGUUUCAUGUAGUAAGAAAAACCAUAUACCAAUAUAUAAGAAACAAUUACAUUAUAGUCCAUUUUCCUAAUGAGAGUUAGAUAGUUUCGUCCAAGCUAAGACAUUCUAUUUCUAAGCACGAAUAUGACAUCAUUAAAACAUCUGCAAAACAUUGACUAGCAUAGCCUUACUCUUAGAAGACACUUCAAUAUAAACGAACAACAAGACAUGAUUAAAGAGGCCAGACAUACAAAAAUUCAGACAACGAAAACAGAUUUACUAACAUACCAGAAUCUCAAGUUUGGAAUAUGACAAAAAUGGACACUUUACAUCUUUUUAACACUAAUUUUCAGGAAAGAAUAAAACAGACAAUAAAAUUACUAAUCUUACUGUAUUUUGGGAAAAAACAGAAAAUAGAGCCAAUGUGGUGGUAGAAAGUCGUCAUGGUGGUGCUUCUGGAGCUUCACCGGAGUGUUGUCGACUGCGCGGGAGAGAUGUGAUUAUGUUUUUCAUCAACCGGUGUUUGCCGACCGGAUCUUGAUGAAAACCGUGUAAAUAAAUAUUCUCCAGAGUUUAUAAAAUGUCUUUACAAUGUAAAUAAAUAAAUAAACAAGCUGUAAAUCACUAUAUUCUCAAAGUCAAACCGAGUCUGGUUAUUUCUGUUCUGAUAUGUCCGGUCCGGAUAUUUUUGCCCCGGCUUAAACAUAACCCUAACCCUAAAAAAAAAAAAGCACAAUAAAAAAAGAAGCCUUUCACAUUUUUCAUUUUUUCUUUCUCUUAAUCUUCCUUCAGAAUCCAGCCGCCUCUGUCAAACUCUCAAACUACCUCAGGGUUCGUACCACACUCUUCCUUCAUGUUUCCAUCUUUAACCUAGAACGGUCUGGAUUUAAUUGCAACUAGUCAUAAACUUUAUUCUAAAACUCUAAUUUCGAAGGCACUAGAUAUCUAAAAAAUUGUUAUCCAUUUUUGGUAGUUUGAUUUACGAGGUUUCUACUUCUUAUAUUGAUUUCAUCAUACACUGGUGUUAUAGGUUUCUUCGUCCUCGUGUUGUUGCGUUGUUGAUUUUGUUUGUUAAAUUCCGUUAUUACAGAUGUCAGCAUUAAUGGAUCAAGAUUCAGGGAUGUUCAAGGUUCAGCAAACCAUUGUAAGUGUCUUGUGUUGCAAGUGUGGUGUUCCUAUGCCACCAAACGCAGCCAACAUGUGUGUCAACUGUCUCCGUUCCGAAGUCGACAUCACCGAAGGCUUACAGAAGAGUGUCCAAAUCUUCUAUUGCCCUGAGUGUGGCUGUUACUUGCAGCCACCCAAGACGUGGAUCAAAGCUCAGUGGGAAUCCAAAGAGCUCUUAUCUUUCUGCAUCAAGAGGCUCAAGAAUCUCAACAAAGUCAGGCUCACGAACGCUGAGUUCGUCUGGACUGAGCCUCACUCCAAGAGAAUCAAACUCAAGCUCACUGUUCAAGCCGAGGUUCUUAACGGUGCUGGUCUUGAGCAGUCAUAUCUCGUUGAGUAUACCGUUAGAGACCAUCUCUGCGAGUCUUGCUCGAGGUUUCAGGCCAACCCUGAUCAGUGGGUUGCUUCGGUUCAGCUUAGGCAGCAUGUUUCUCACAGGAGGUCUUUCUUUUAUCUCGAACAGUUGAUUCUCAGGAACGAUGCUGCUUCUCGCGCCGUAAGAAUCAAGCAGGUUCAUCAAGGGGUUGAUUUCUUCUUUGGGAAUAAAAGUCAUGCUGAUAACUUUGUUGAGUUUUUGAGUAAAGUUGUUCCCAUUGAGUCUCGUCAGGACAAGCAGCUAGUGUCUCACGAUGUCAAGAGCAGCUUGUACAACUACAAGUACACUUACUCCGUUAAGAUCUGUCCUAUCUGCCGUGAGGAUCUUAUCUUCCUGCCUUCCAAAGUUGCUAGCGGGUUAGGAAGCCUUGGUCCGCUUGUGGUGUGCACAAAAGUUUCUGAAAGAAUCACGCUGCUUGAUCCUAGAACCUUGAGGUGUGCGUUCUUGGACGCCAGACAGUACUGGAGAUCCGGAUUUCGAUCCGCUCUCACCAGCAGGCAGCUUGUGAAGUACUCAGUGGUUUAUGUGGAACCACCUGUUGGUGAAGCGACUGUCGGAGGGCAAAAGUAUGCUCUAUCCUAUGUCCACAUCGCACGUGAGUCAGACAUUGGUAAGAUGUUAACUGUCCAAAGACUCCAAACUCAUCUAGGACAUAUCCUGAAAACAGGAGAUCAAGCUUUAGGGUAUGAUAUCUACGGUGCAAAUGUUAGCGACGAUGAAAUGGACGAGUAUCGUUUGCAUGGGGGGAUUCCUGAAGUGAUUCUUAUCAAGAAAUGCUAUGACAAGGAGAGAGAGAGGAAGAAGGGGAAGCCACGUGCGUUUACGACCAAGAAGCUUCCAAUGGAGAUGGAUGAGUCAAGAGGAGGACGCGGAGUUGAUCCAAAGAAGAUGGAGAAUGAAUAUGAAGAGUUUUUGAGGGAUCUUGAAGAGAAUCCUGAGCUGAGGUUUAACAUAUCAUUGUACAAGAACAAGGAUUAUCAAGAGUCUGAUGAGACUGCUUCAAUGACGGAUGGAGAAGGUGCACCGACUGUGCCGAUUGAAGAGUUGCUUGCUGAGCUUGAGCUUAGUGAAGAGGAAGGCGAUGAUGAAGAGUACAUGGAUGAGUAAUUUUCCUUUUAAAAGACACUCAAUGAUUGGGUUAAUUGUAUGCACAGGAGUUUUUGUUUCUAGCUUCAUAUUUUUCUGAGACUUAUUAUGGUUAUACUUUGUUUGAAAUUUUGAUUUUUGAACGUGUAAUAGUUGCAACUACGGUGGAUCAUACAGUGAAGCCAAUCUGUGUCGCCAUUAUCAAUGGAGUGUAAAAGAAACAAAAUGGCUCACAUUCAAAUCCAAUCUCUCUUUAAUCCUUUCAUUAAAAAUGUGUUUUGAGUUUAAGAUCUCUAUUUUGCGUCUUCAACGUUAUGUAAUGUAGGAUAUGUACAUUAAUCAGUUAACAUAUACAACUAUAUAUAUAUGUAACUUGAGAAAAAGAGGCAGUCACAAAAUUAUCUAUGUUGUCCGCGGUUAUUCCUGAUUGAUAGAUGUCCCCAUGAGAGACGGUUUAUUAUCAUGGUGGAUUCCACACGGACUAUCUCUGCUUGCAAUGCAAGCUUCGCCUGGAAUCAAGAGACCACCUCGGCACCUCUUCAUUACAUAGUGUAUAAAACGUUCAUAAUCAGAAGAAAAUGCAAGUUUUUUAAAAAUUAACUCAAAUUUACUUAUAUUUUCAGUUCAGUUGCUAACAAAUUUUGUUACAUUUUCAGCUAUAGUUGUCUUGGUAAAACAACCAAAAUUUAUAAUAUUAUAAGAAAGUAACAAUUUAUUGGUUAAGGUACUUUUUAGUUUUAACCUUCAAGAUAUAAAAUUAGACAGCAGAUUCCAAAGACAAGGGACACAACCUAAAAAAUGAGAGGUGGUGAGAAAAGUUAAACUGAACUUCUCUUCCCCCAACCCACUAUAUAAAUGUAACUAUGAGUUAAAUCAAAUUCAAGAAACAAAACAACAUAAUUAAUAGUAAAUAGUAAUACGAGUAGUAAAUACAUAUUUUUAACAAUGGGUGCAUAUUUUGGAGUUUCUACAAUAUUUAUUUUCUGUUUGCUGGGGUUUUCAGCCAAUGCUGAGGUUUUCAGCAUUGAUUCCUCUUCAGGUUCUGAUAUUACUCAGGUUAGUCAUGUAUUGCUUUUCCUCUAUCUUGCGUUACAAGCAAUCUAGAAAACCACAUUUUUGGCUUAGUUGUUAAAGUUUCAUUGUGCUGAUAUAUGCAGGCACUUCUGAAAGCAUUCACAUCGGCAUGCCAAUCUCCGUCACCGAGCAAAGUAGUGAUCCCAGAAGGAGAGUUCAAGCUUGGUGAGAUCGAGAUGAGGGGACCAUGCAAAGCUCCAGUCGAGAUCACCCUUCAAGGCACUGUCAAAGCUGACGGUAACGCGAUCCAGGGGAAGGAAAAAUGGGUUGUCUUCGGCAACAUUAAUGGGUUUAAGUUGAACGGAGGUGGAGCUUUUGACGGUGAAGGAAACGCAGCUUGGAGAGUCAAUAACUGUCACAAGACAUUCAACUGCAAGAAACUUCCCAUCGUAUGUGCUUCUGUCCUCACUUGUUUUUAAGAUUUUGAAAUUAUUACCUAGGUGUUAGAUGGUGAGUAGGCUCUUAAGUCCUAUAUGGAUUGUUUGCCCACAAAAAUUAAAGAAUUGAAAAAAAUAAAAGUAUUGAUGGUUUUGAGACCUCAAUAUAACAGAAUUUUAACUAGCUUUUGUGAAGAAAACAAAACAACUUAUUGAUGUAAUUUUAUCUUUGUUUUUUAUAGAGUAUAAGGUUUGAUUUCGUGGAGAACGCUGAGAUCAAAGACAUAUCAUCGAUAGAUGCCAAGAACUUCCACAUCAACGUGCUCGGAGCCAAGAACAUGACCAUGAGUAACAUCAAGAUCACCGCUCCAGAAGACAGCCCCAACACUGACGGUAUCCAUUUGGGAAGAAGUGACGGAGUCAAGAUCCUUAACUCAUUCAUCUCCACCGGAGACGACUGCAUCUCCGUUGGAGAUGGGACGAAUAACCUUCACGUGGAGAAAGUCACGUGCGGUCCAG